AGACCCCUUGAAGACGACGAGGUAGAUAGGUUGGGGGUGGAAGCACAGCAAUGUGUGGAGCUGACCAAUACUAAUCGGUCGAGGGCUUAUCCUA
Paenibacillus sp. is the source of this 94-nucleotide ribosomal RNA. It matches the Rfam family "Bacterial large subunit ribosomal RNA", at positions 2831 to 2925 of the family's 2925-position model. The record is from Rfam. Lineage: Bacteria; Bacillati; Bacillota; Bacilli; Caryophanales; Paenibacillaceae.